Molecule: long non-coding RNA, 190 nt
Organism: Hippocampus comes (tiger tail seahorse)
Lineage: Eukaryota; Metazoa; Chordata; Actinopteri; Syngnathiformes; Syngnathidae
Exons: 3
Source: RefSeq, a predicted model, not a curated record
GCAAGUUUUUCCGUUGUCUACAAGCCCUGUUCUCAGAGGUUGCUCAUUGUACUUUAGGUGUGUGGAGAGAGCCGCGAGUGGAUCGCUCAAACAGAUGCAUUGCGAGUGCGGGCACGUUUGGAAAUGGACGGGUUGAAAGUAAAAAUUAGUCAGAUUACUGGGCCAAAGGCGCAGCUGCCAGACUCGGAGG